This is a long non-coding RNA of Zingiber officinale, 541 nucleotides long. RefSeq lists it as uncharacterized. The transcript is spliced from 2 exons. The record is from RefSeq and is a predicted model, not a curated record. NCBI's taxonomy places the organism in Eukaryota, Viridiplantae, Streptophyta, Magnoliopsida, Zingiberales, Zingiberaceae.
ACGUGGCUUGCCAGGCGUUCUAACGAAUAUUUCGUAGUAAGAGGGAUAGCGAAUCUUAUUUAGAUGGUAGUAGAUAACAGAAAUAAGGAGUUAAGAGAGGAAAUUGAAGAUUUUUCCCGUGACCUAAGGUUUCUCUUCUUCUCUCUCGCGGCGUCGGGCUCUUCUCGGGCGAAACCGCAGCAGGAAGCGAGGGCGUCUCCGGCGGCCGGCGGCCGGCGAGCACCUUCCUCCGUGAGGUCUUCACACCAUCGUGAUCCUCUCGUCGAGGAGAACCGUGAGCACGAAGGAGGGGCCGAAGCUUUCAGUUUCCGCAAACCCUAGAGUUUUCUUCCCGGUUGUAAGCCCAAGAACGCAAAGAUAAAGGAAGACGAGGAGGAGGUGCGGAUGGUGUGUGAUGUCAGGACUAUGGAAGUCUUGGGACUUAGUUUAAGAAUUUGUUAGAUUAAUUCUGUGUAUAGGUUGAUAAGAAAGUGUUGGAGUAAGAAGCUGUAUUUUAUUUUGUUUCCGCUAUUCAUUACUUGCAUGAUUUGAUUUUAUUAAA